This 100-nucleotide small nuclear RNA is filed under the name Verticillium longisporum. RNAcentral describes it as "Verticillium dahliae var. longisporum U4 spliceosomal RNA". It matches the Rfam family "U4 spliceosomal RNA", at positions 29 to 130 of the family's 138-position model. Rfam says of the family: U4 small nuclear RNA (U4 snRNA) is a component of the major U2-dependent spliceosome. The structure of U4 snRNA from yeast and human has been reported. Lineage: Eukaryota; Fungi; Ascomycota; Sordariomycetes; Glomerellales; Plectosphaerellaceae. The record is from Rfam by way of RNAcentral.
AGUGAGGAUUCGUCCGAGAUCGUGUUUUUGCUAGUUGAAAACUAUAACCUAUGACCACUCCUAGUUGGCUUCGGCUGGCUAGGGAAUUUUUGACACGUUU